GGAAGGGUGCUUGAGAGGCCGAAAAGAGCCGCCUGCUAAGCGGUUGAGGGUUCACGCCCUCCGUGGGUUCGAAUCCCACCCCUUCCGCCA
RNAcentral lists this transfer RNA (90 nucleotides) under Bacillota bacterium. Its description in RNAcentral is "Firmicutes bacterium (anaerobic digester metagenome) tRNA-Ser". It matches the Rfam family "tRNA". From Rfam's summary of the family: Transfer RNA (tRNA) molecules are approximately 80 nucleotides in length. Their secondary structure includes four short double-helical elements and three loops (D, anti-codon, and T loops). The record is from RNAcentral. Lineage: Bacteria; Bacillati; Bacillota.